GCUCUCAUCCAUAGAGAUGUGGCACAUGGACUCUCUGUUGUAGAUGUUAUGUUGCCUGUUACAUGGUUUGUGGAUACAAGGUCAACAAAUUGCUGGACCAUUUAUCAAUGUGUUCCUGAUGUCUGUACACAUGAUCUGUACUCAAAAGUAGAAUUCGAUUUGGCUGGUUGUACUGUUAUAUGUUUCUGUUUGAUUUUAGCUGGAUAACCACUUGCUUACAUGGAAUGAUUUUUCAAUGUUUAAUGAGUGGUACCAUAGAUGCACGGCUAACA
This 272-nucleotide unclassified non-coding RNA is filed under the name Hevea brasiliensis (rubber tree). The record is from RNAcentral. Lineage: Eukaryota; Viridiplantae; Streptophyta; Magnoliopsida; Malpighiales; Euphorbiaceae.